RNAcentral lists this ribosomal RNA (253 nucleotides) under uncultured bacterium. Its description in RNAcentral is "partial 16S ribosomal RNA". It matches the Rfam family "Bacterial small subunit ribosomal RNA", at positions 524 to 776 of the family's 1533-position model. The record is from RNAcentral.
UACGGAGGGUGCAAGCGUUGUCCGGAUUUAUUGGGUUUAAAGGGUGCGUAGGCGGCCCUGUAAGUCAGUGGUGAAAUACUGCAGCUUAACUGUAGCAUUGUCAUUGAUACUGUAGGGCUUGAGUACAGAUGAGGUAGGCGGAAUUGAUGGUGUAGCGGUGAAAUGCAUAGAUACCAUCAAGAACACCGAUUGCGAAGGCAGCUUACUAAGCUGUAACUGACGCUGAGGCACGAAAGCGUGGGGAUCGAACAGG